UACGGAGGGUGCAAGCGUUGUCCGGAAUCACUGGGCGUAAAGGGCGCGUAGGCGGCUCAUGAAGGCUGUGGUGAAAGUCCGGGGCUCAACCUCGGAUCGGCCGUGGCGACUCGUGGGCUGGAGCACUGUAGAGGCGGGUGGAAUUCCGGGGUGUAGCGGUGGAAUGCGUAGAGAUCCGGAAGAACACCAGUGGCGAAGGCGGCCCGCUGGGCAGUGGCUGACGCUGAGGCGCGACAGCGUGGGGAGCAAACAGG
This 254-nucleotide ribosomal RNA is filed under the name uncultured bacterium. RNAcentral describes it as "partial 16S ribosomal RNA". It matches the Rfam family "Bacterial small subunit ribosomal RNA", at positions 524 to 776 of the family's 1533-position model. The record is from RNAcentral.